CCCUUAGAUGUUCUGGGCCGCACGCGCGCUACACUGAUGCAUUCAACGAGUCUACAACCUGGUCUGAUAGGGCUGGGUAAUCUUUUGAAUGUGCAUCGUGAUUGGGAUAGAUGAUUGCAAUUUUUCAUCUUCAACGAGGAAUGCCUAGUAAACGCAAGUCAUCAGCUUGCAUUGAUUACGUCCCUGCCCUUUGUACACACCGCCCGUCGCUCCUACCGAUUGAAUGAUCCGAUGAAUAUCAUGGAUUGAGGAUGCAAGUAGGUUAGCCUAUCUUCAUCUUCGAGAAGUGAAGUAAAUCUUAUCAUUUAGAGGAAGGAGAAGUCGUAACA
Molecule: ribosomal RNA, 329 nt
Filed under: uncultured eukaryote
Lineage: Eukaryota
Description: partial 18S ribosomal RNA
Rfam family: Eukaryotic small subunit ribosomal RNA
Source: RNAcentral